RNAcentral lists this ribosomal RNA (394 nucleotides) under uncultured bacterium. RNAcentral describes it as "bacterial SSU rRNA". It matches the Rfam family "Bacterial small subunit ribosomal RNA", at positions 30 to 425 of the family's 1533-position model. The record is from RNAcentral.
AUUGAACGCUGGCGGCAUGCCUUACACAUGCAAGUCGAGCGGCAGCACGGGAGCAAUCCUGGUGGCGAGUGGCGAACGGGUGAGUAAUAUAUCGGAACGUGCCCAGUCGUGGGGGAUAACGUAGCGAAAGCUACGCUAAUACCGCAUACGAUCUAUGGAUGAAAGCGGGGGAUCGCAAGACCUCGCGCGAUUGGAGCGGCCGAUAUCAGAUUAGGUAGUUGGUGGGGUAAAAGCCUACCAAGCCUUCGAUCUGUAGCUGGUCUGAGAGGACGACCAGCCACACUGGAACUGAGACACGGUCCAGACUCCUACGGGAGGCAGCAGUGGGGAAUUUUGGACAAUGGGCGCAAGCCUGAUCCAGCAAUGCCGCGUGCAGGAUGAAGGCCUUCGGUUG